GGGGGUAUAGUUAAAUAUAACAUCUAAAUUGCAAUUAGAAGGAACUAAUUAUAGUUGCCCUCA
This 63-nucleotide transfer RNA is filed under the name Grypocephalus pallipectus. RNAcentral describes it as "tRNA-Ala". The record is from RNAcentral. Lineage: Eukaryota; Metazoa; Arthropoda; Insecta; Hemiptera; Alydidae.